GAUGCUGUAUGGCUGGAGAAGCUCCUGCCAGCCCCUGCUCUCCUUUUGUGGCAUUUUUCUUUAUCCCAAGAACUUGACUAAUAGUCUAGUCUGGGUUGUCCCUUUGAGGAGGCUUGUUGCUCUCUCAAUUUUCCCAGGCCCGGUGAUAUCCCUGAAGGCAGGUACAGGCAUGCUGCAGAAAUCUGGAGGCCUGCCCAAAAGUAUGUCUGUUGUUGGUGAAGGGGCAAUGUAGCAAUUACAUGAGUAAUGCGGUGGCAGGUCUAUGGGAAAUCAGAGCUGGAGAAAGAGGGCUGUUCUUGAAGGAAGGGUGGUGGGUGAACAAACCCUUGCCUUGCGAACCCUGUCUUCUCCUUCCCUUCCCCCAAUCCCAGCUCCUCUCUCACCAAACAUCCUUUCAUGCUCACCCCACUCUGGUACUCAAGGAGCUGUGGAAAUGAGAAGGAAGCGGUUGCAGGUCAACAGUGGGCUUCCUCAGAGCCACUGACAGGUCCCUUCUGGCGGGGCUGGCUCCAGGGGCGGGAGCUGAAGACAGACCUUGGAGUCUGACCACUUCUGAGGGCAGCAGCCCGGCUCCUGGUGGCCCCGGCAGCAGUCCCCUGGUGACCAUGCUGUUGAGCACCUUUUCAUAUGCUCAUUAGCCAUCUGCAUAUUUUCUUUGCUGAGGCAUCUGUUCAGGUAUUAUGGCUAUUUUUAAAGUAGGCUGUUCAAUUUCUAUUGUUGAGUUUUAAGAGUUUCUUGUAUCUUUUGGAUAAGUCUCUAUCAGGUAUAUUUUUGUAAAUAUUUUUUCCCAGUCUAUGUCCUGUCUUCUCAUUCCUUGACAGUGUGUUUUACAGAAAUUUUAAUAUUCAUGAAAUCUAAUUUAUCAAUUAUUUCUUUCUUGAAUCACCUUUUUUUAUGUUGUGCCUAAAAAGUUAUCCUCACACUGCAGGUUAUCUAGAUUUUUCUCUGUUAUCUUCCAAGAAUUUUAUAUUUUUGCCUUUUCCAUUUAUGUUGAUGAUCUAUUUUGAGUUAACUUUGUGAAGGCUGUAAGGACUGUUUCUUUUAUUGCUUGGGAAUUUUUGUACAUUUCUUAUUGGAUUGUUUGGGUUGUUUUUAAUUAUUAAGUUAUAAAAAUAUAUAUGCUAGAUAUAAGCCUCUGCAUUGAUAUAUGAUUUGAGAAUACUGUCUCCCAUUCUGUGGGUUGUCUUUCCACUUUUAUGAUGGUGUGUUUUGAAGCACAGAAGUUUUCAUUUUGAUGAAACCCAACUUGUCUAUUUUUUCUCUUGUAACUUGUGAAUUUGGUGUCAUGUCUAAGAAAUCAUUACCUGAUCCAAGGUCAAGCAGAUUUACUCUUAUGUUUUCUUCUAAGAAUUUUAUAGUUUUAGCUUUUGCAUUUAGCUAAUUAUGUAUUUUUUGAGUUAAUUUUUGUAAAUGAUGUGAGAUGUGAGCCCAGUCUUAUUCUUCUGCAUAAGGGUAUCUAGUUGCUCUGACACAAUUUAUCAAAAAGACUAUUCUUUCCUCUUAAUUAUCUUAACAUCUUUGUCAAAAAUCAAGUAAUCACUGAAGGUAAAAGUGUUUAUUUCUGGACUCCCAAUGACAUUGCAUUGAUCUGUAUGUCUAUACCAGUACCAUACUGUCUUGAUUACUAUCGCUUUUUAGUAAGUUCUGAAGUUGGAAAGUGUGUCCUCUGCUUUUUUUUUCAUCUUCAAGAUGUUUUGACUAUUCUGAGUCCCUGAAUUUGGAUCAGCCUGUCAAUUUCUGCAAAGAAAUAAUCUGGGAUGUUGAUAUGGAUUAUGUCAGAUCUUAUUUGGGGGAAUAUCACCAUCUUAAUAGUAAACCCUCUAGUUUGUGAACAUGGGAUGCUUUCCCAUUUAUUUAGGUCUUUCUUAAUUUCUUUCAACUAUGUUUUAUAGUUUACAGUGUGCAUAUCUUGUACUUCCUUUAUUUAAUUAUCCCUAAGUAUUUCGUUCUUUGUGAUACUAUUGUAAAUGAAAUUAUUUUCUUAAUUUCAUUAUUUGAUGAUUUGUUGCUAGUAUAUAGAAGUGUAACUGACGUUGAUGUAUUAAUCUUGUAUCCUGAAACCUACCUAAAUUCAUGUAUUAGUCCUAAUAACCCUUUCCUUUCCAUUUUGCACUGUUUUCCUCCUUGUCUAUGAAUUGUACUCUGUCUAAUCUUCUUUCAGUUUCUCCAAAGUGCUAAGCUCUCAUCACAGAAACUUUACAUAUUCUGUCCCCUCUGUCUGGAUUUCAUGCUUAUUUUGGAGUCUUCCACCUGAUUAACUCAUCCUUCAGCUCUAUCUCCACAAGCUGCCACAGCUGACUUCAGUUCAUAUCUUAUCCCUUUGUGCAAACAACUAUAAUUCUGUGUUUUUCUUCAAUGUUUUCCUCAGUUUAUCCCCUCAUUUGUACCUACAUAGUGCCUGGCACAUAGUGAAUACUUAACAAAGCAUUUGUCAAAUGAAACAAAGAAUGAAUAAUUGGCAUUGGGAAAAUAUAGCCAUCAUUAAGAACUUUGAGUGAGGCUGAUGGGGAGAAUUGAAGGUGCAGCACAUAGUAUCUACAUAACCAGUCUGGCCUUCUGAGGAUUUACAUUCCACAAUGGAAUGUGAUUGUCUUGAGAGAACAGAGCCAUUGAGCAUGACACCAGUAACAUGUGGUUUCAUGUUGUUUCUCCACUAAAACUCCCUUCUUGGUGGUGGGAAAUUCAGAAAGGAAAACCCAGCUAUCUGAAUCAUUUGCAAAUGAAUAAUCUCUGUCUGACUUUUUAUUUGCACCUUACCUUUCCUGAGGUACAGCUCACUUUCGGAAAAAGUGUGUGUGGGGGGGUUGAAAAGAUUUGUUUAUUUUUCUUGCAAAAUAUGUCCACGGUGACAAACAGGGAAAUUCCCAACCAGCUGUCCCAGUGACCAGCCAGAAAAAGAUUCCCCUGGAACUCUAUAGCAGAAGACUGUGUGCCAGAUGCCCUGAAAGAAUGUUCUGGAGUCUUAUAAUUACCAGGCUCAACUCUGAUGCUUUGCUGGCACCGUAAGUCCCAUGGAAUCAGGUGGGAGGAUAAGUGUGGUAGAAAGGAAAGGGAAGAUGAGCUGAAAGGCCUGAGAAAUGAAAUCAGGAUGAGAUGGUGUGUGAUUUCCUGCUGCAUGAUGGAUUUCCUAUCCAAUUCUGGGAACCCAUAUCCCAGUAAUCAGGCCAGACAGAAGGACAAGGUUUGCAUUCAGGAUUUUCACAUUGUGCUAUAUUUUAUAUAAUCCUUACAGAUCUGAAAUGGGGCUUGGUUCCAAGUGGUUUGAGACCUUUUAGACCCAGUGAAGCAUUGUAUUAUGAAGCUAUAGACCACUGUGAUAGGUUUUGUCUUGUAUCUCCAUCAUCUAGCCCAAUACCUGACUCAGAGGAAGGGCGCAAUGAAAAUUGAACACAGCAUCUUAAAUAAGUCAGUGCAUACCAAGCUAAUUUGCAAAUUAGCUUCUACAGCCCAGUUAACUAAGCUCAUUUUCUUUUUUCUUUUAUUUAUUUAUUUAUUUAUUGGUUCCAGAGAUCAAACUUGGGACCUUGCGCUUGCAAGGCAGGCACCGGAACCACUGAGCUAAAUCCCUGGCCCUCCUUUUCAAAAUUUUAUUCUGACACUCAUCCAUCUUUUUGUCUUCUAUAGCAAACGGUGCAAGUAUUUAGAGUUCUUAAUUUUUGUUGUGUGAGAUGAAUAAUUAAUUAAUUAUGAAUACAUUCCAUACAUAAAUAAAUAAAUAAAAUCAUUGUUCUGCUGUUACUAAAAUAUGAUUUAAAAUGAAAGAUAUGGCUUUCUAGGUAUGAUUUUUAAAUACUUUGUCAAAGGAGAGUUUAAAAUAGUAGAAGUUUGUAUUGAAACAAAAUGGAAGAAGAAGCUUAUAAAAGCACAAUACUCAACUAUAUUUACUUUCUUUGACUAACAUACUCAGGUAAACACAAUAUAAGAGCUACCCUUAUUUUUCUUCCUAUCUCAAAAUGCCUCUGUAAUAAAAGGGUAAAAAUGAUCACAAUUUGGAGUCCUUUCUUCCAAACACUUCCAUUAUCAGUCAUAUUUGAGGAUAAUGUCUUAGGUCAGAGGUUUCUGAGUGUUCGUGGACAAGUUUCCAGUUGCUGCCUAAAGAAAUUAUUGCUCAAUGGUGGCAGACCUUUAAGUCAGGAUGGCUUUCCUUGAGUUUAAUAAUGUGUUAAAUUUGAUGCAAACUGUUACAUAUUUAAGUGGGUCAAGAUCAUUGAACCUGGAUUUUCUUCCUGAGAUUUCCUUUACUCUCAAAGCUUUGCCAAUCAUUUAGAUGCUGUUUUGGUUCCAUAAAUAUUCAUUGCACUUUGGUGGAGAUACUGUUUUAGAUUCUGUAAAAAGAGCAGUGAGUAACAAACACAUAAAGCUCCUGUACGUGGAGUGUAUGUCCUGGGAGAGCUUAUUAUUUUCCCCCUAGUCAAAUGAAACAAAAACAGUGCAUGUCUCAAAGGAUACUCUGAGGACUCUAUGGGGUCGGAGAGGGUAUAGAAGGAAGCGAGAAAUGAUCCCUGACUUUUCAAGGAUCUUGGCUAUAUGUGGAUUUGAGCAGAAGUCAAGGAAUACAUUAUUGAGGUGCAGGAAUGUGUACAUGAUUUUAGGCUGCACGGAAGGAAGCAAGAAAAAAUGUUGAAAACAUGAGUGAGAGGAAAAGAAUGAUAUCAAGGGAUUGGGAGAGAUUAACGUUGAUCAGGAAACAGAACUGUGACUGCAGACGUCAUGGGAAAAGUUGAGCGGGGCGGUAGAAAGUGUGCUUUCACAGCCAACCCUGGAGAGGUGUUAUUCCAAGUUGUUAAUGGUUUUCCGUAGUAGGAAACAGGAAUUUUGAAGGGUAACGUGUGAUGCCUUUGAGACACUUUCCUUGUUGAGCUAUAUGCUAGGCAGGUUUGACAUGGAAGUAAUUUAAAUAUUCAUAGAAACAGAAUUCAUGUCAGUGCUUUUCAAAAUACCUGGAUACUUUACAUAUUCCUAGGUCCCUGUACCAGGUGCUUCAAAAUGCAAUCUUUGGAAGUUGUUCUUGGAAUCUAGCACAUUCACAGUGUCGUGCAACCAUAAUCACUAUCUAGUUCCAAAACAUUUCAUGAUCCAAAAAUGACACUGAAUACCCAAUAAGAAGUCUCUGCAUUGGGCUAGGGAUUUAGCUCAGUGGUUCUGCCUUCUGCCUUGCAAGUGCAAGGCCCCAAGUUCGAUCCCUGGUACCAAAACAAGAAGAAAAAAAAAAAAAAAGAAGUCUCUGCAUGUGGCAUCACUUCAGUGCUUACAAACUUCAAAUUUGGAAUCAUUUUAGCUUUUAGAUUUUUAGAUUAGGGAUGGUUAACCUGCAGUUAAAUUUAUUAUAGGUGCAUAUAUCUAAG
This 5345-nucleotide long non-coding RNA is filed under the name Heterocephalus glaber (naked mole-rat). RNAcentral describes it as "lncRNA (ENSHGLG00000050815.1)". Lineage: Eukaryota; Metazoa; Chordata; Mammalia; Rodentia; Bathyergidae. The record is from RNAcentral.